AGAGUUUGAUCAUGGCUCAGAUUGAACGCUGGCGGAAUGCUUUACACAUGCAAGUCGAGCGGCAGCGCGGGGGCAACCCUGGCGGCGAGCGGCGAACGGGUGAGUAACACAUCGGAACGUGCCCUAUCGUGGGGGAUAACGAAUCGAAAGAUUCGCUAAUACCGCAUACGACCUGAGGGUGAAAGCGGGGGAUCGCAAGACCUCGCGCGAUUGGAGCGGCCGAUGUCGGAUUAGCUAGUUGGUGAGGUAAAGGCUCACCAAGGCGACGAUCCGUAGCUGGUCUGAGAGGACGACCAGCCACACUGGGACUGAGACACGGCCCAGACUCCUACGGGAGGCAGCAGUGGGGAAUUUUGGACAAUGGGGGCAACCCUGAUCCAGCCAUUCCGCGUGAGUGAAGAAGGCCUUCGGGUUGUAAAGCUUCUUUCGGCAGGAACGAAACGGUGCGGGCUAAUACCCUGUAUCAAUGACGGUACCUGAAGAAGAA
Molecule: ribosomal RNA, 487 nt
Filed under: uncultured beta proteobacterium
Lineage: Bacteria; Pseudomonadati; Pseudomonadota; Betaproteobacteria
Description: bacterial SSU rRNA
Rfam family: Bacterial small subunit ribosomal RNA
Source: RNAcentral